RNAcentral lists this unclassified non-coding RNA (469 nucleotides) under Hevea brasiliensis (rubber tree). Lineage: Eukaryota; Viridiplantae; Streptophyta; Magnoliopsida; Malpighiales; Euphorbiaceae. The record is from RNAcentral.
ACAAGCCCGGCAAUGAUAUCCAGUAUUAUGAAGGUGCCUAGGGUUCUCACAUGGCAUCACCAGUGACCAAGUUAAGAGAAAGACAGAUAAUUUAGUAAAGAAAAUCCAAAUAAAGAAACCACAUCUUGUUGCUUCGUUCUGGACAUUGUACUCAAGUAGUAGACCCCAUGAUUCUGUACAAUUAUCAAACAAAAAACCACCACUUUCAUAUUUAUAAAGCACCAAUAGCAGGGUCAACGUUAAAAUGUCACCAAUGAAAGUAAAAUUUCUCUGAUCUAACUUAACACAGUGUUUUGUUCCUGGCUUCACUCACGUGUGUAAGCAGCGCAUGGGGCAAGGGGGGUUAGUAUUCACAUUCCCACUCGUCAAAUCAUGCAACAAUCCAUUUCGGUUGAAAUUCAACAUCCUAGGAACACCUUCCAUGAAUAUUAUACUACGUAGCAGUCAGCUUUAAGAAACGGGUCUUUUG